CCCUACGGGGCGCAGCAGUAAGGAAUAUUGGUCAAUGGGCGAGAGCCUGAACCAGCCAAGUCGCGUGAGGGAUGACUGCCCUAUGGGUUGUAAACCUCUUUUGUAUGGGGGGAAUAAGCUUUACGAGUAGAGUGAUGACAGUACCAUACGAAUAAGCAUCGGCUAACUCCGUGCCAGCAGCCGCGGUAAUACGGAGGAUGCGAGCGUUAUCCGGAUUUACUGGGUGUAAAGGGCGUGUAGCCGGGCCGACAAGUCAGAUGUGAAAUCCGGGGGCUCAACCCCCGAACUGCAUUUGAAACUGUUAG
This 305-nucleotide ribosomal RNA is filed under the name uncultured bacterium. RNAcentral's name for it is "bacterial SSU rRNA". It matches the Rfam family "Bacterial small subunit ribosomal RNA", at positions 337 to 639 of the family's 1533-position model. The record is from RNAcentral.